UUUACAUCACUUGGCUCAUAGCCU
RNAcentral lists this non-coding RNA (24 nucleotides) under Arabidopsis thaliana (thale cress). The record is from RNAcentral. Lineage: Eukaryota; Viridiplantae; Streptophyta; Magnoliopsida; Brassicales; Brassicaceae.